Molecule: ribosomal RNA, 468 nt
Filed under: uncultured bacterium
Lineage: Bacteria
Description: partial 16S ribosomal RNA
Rfam family: Bacterial small subunit ribosomal RNA
Source: RNAcentral
GACGAACGCUGGCGGCGUGCUUAACACAUGCAAGUCGAACGGAAAGGCCCUGCUUUUGUGGGGUGCUCGAGUGGCGAACGGGUGAGUAACACGUGAGUAACCUGCCCUUGACUUUGGGAUAACUUCAGGAAACUGGGGCUAAUACCGGAUAGGAGCUCCUGCUGCAUGGUGGGGGUUGGAAAGUUUCGGCGGUUGGGGAUGGACUCGCGGCUUAUCAGCUUGUUGGUGGGGUAGUGGCUUACCAAGGCUUUGACGGGUAGCCGGCCUGAGAGGGUGACCGGCCACAUUGGGACUGAGGUACGGCCCAGACUCCUACGGGAGGCAACAGGGGGGAAUAUUGCACAAUGGGCGGAAGCCUGAUGCAGCAACGCCGCGUGCGGGAUGACGGCCUUCGGGUUGUAAACCGCUUUCGCCUGUGACGAAGCGUGAGUGACGGUAAUGGGUAAAGAAGCACCGGCUAACUACGUG